AUGGAUAUGAAAAUUCAAAAGUGAGUACCGAUAUCUCUUAAAGUACAUUUUUUUGCAAAAAAAAUGGAAAUGGGGAAUGUUUAUCUUUAUUUAGAUAAAGUACCAUAUAACAUGUAUAAGAUAAAGUAUGUAAAAUCUUAAAUCCAGUAUACUAGACAUUACAUCAGUACAUACAUAAUGCAAAUCAGAAUAAGAAUGCAUAACAAUUGAACCUUUAAACAUUAUUAGAUCUAUAACUAGUUUAAAAAAAAUAUAAAAAAACAGAUAAUGCACACAAAAAUAUUAAUGAGAGCAUGUACUCCAGAUAUACCAGAAGGGUUUUAAUAUCCCACUACAAACAUGACAAAUGUUUAUGAAGUCCUCAGAGUUCUGAAUGUGAAUCCUCUAAAAAAUGAUAUUAAACUUCAAAUAUGUGUACUUGAAAAAUGUUUUACUACAUACAUGAUAUACAUGUAUAUAAUAUUCAAAUUCAUCUUAUUCUAAUAUAAUUAAUUGAAAACAUUUUCAAGUAAAAAACUGAUGUAUAAAUGUAUAACUUGACUAUUCCAUUAAUUUAUUUCAGGUGACUGAGCUAAAAGAAAAACACACAUGAAACUGUAACCAGUUUGGGAGACGCAAAGUGACCAACAGAACAUUUCAAUACCUUUUUAGUUUUUUUAUGUAUAUAUUUGACUUUUGGUGGUAUUUGGGCAGUUACUAAAGUAACUGAGAGACCUCAAUGUUGAAAACGUCAAGUUUGAUAGAGCACAAUUUUAAAAUUUCAAUUUUAUUGUUUAUGGAUCUAUAUCUUUAGAAGCUUAAUGGGUAUCUGAAAGAAUAUUUCAAAGUUUUCUGAAUCUAUAUAGAUAUUUAUCAUGUUUCAUGUGUUUAUAGGCAAAUAUUCAUAUAUCUUUUUUUUUAUUUUAAGCAAGGGUAUUUAUGAAUUAAAAAAAAUUGUAUAUGUAAAAUUGAGAAAGGAAACGGGGAAUAUGUCAAAGCGCCAACAACCCAACCAUAGAGCAGACAACAGCUGAAGGCCACCAAUGGGUCCUCAAUGUAGAGAGAAACUCCUGUACCUUGUUGAUAAAAAAAAUCAAAAUUAUUACAGAGUCACAAAUCAAUUUAUUAAAAACAAAAUCUAUUAAAAGGGAAAAAAGUAAAAAGUUGUGUUUUUCAUAAUGAUUGUGUCAAUAUUUCUGUGUUAUUCAGAAACAUGUG
This 1197-nucleotide long non-coding RNA is filed under the name Mytilus galloprovincialis (Mediterranean mussel). Lineage: Eukaryota; Metazoa; Mollusca; Bivalvia; Mytilida; Mytilidae. The record is from RNAcentral.